GGGGAGCUCAGGUGCAUGCAAUGUACCUGAGUGAUUGGAAGGGAUGGAGCCAGGAUCUACCCCUUCCCAGACCUCAGUUAAGGGUUGGCAGUCGAUGCAAGGGUAUUUUCUUGAAAAUCCCUGUGUACCUGAGGCUUUUUUGCAGGAAAGAUUCACUGAAGUAUCUGCCUAGUGUUUAACACCAGCCAUUCCCCAUUGUCCUAUCACUAGCAGAUCGUGGAAGAAGUUGAUCCCCUUCCUGAGUGAUCUUCAACUUGUGGUGUGGAGUGUCAAAGAAUGUGAGAAUUCCUUGUAGUUGGCUUGCAGUACCAAUGCACGCUUGUUCAGUGGGAUGUGAACCAGAGUGUCUCUUUCUCCAAAAAGUCUGCUGUAAAGAAAAGUGACAAGUAAGCAAUCCUUGGUAUGCUUCUUCAGUAAAGAGAAGAAACACAGGAGAUAAUGUGCUCCCACAGCACUUCUUUAAGGAGCGCGUCAAAGUCUUUUCAAAUAAGCUGGGCAGUCAUGAGAAGGAAGGUCUUCGCAUGAAUAAAACCGCUGACUAGAAGUCAAUUCUCUCUCUGAAGAGAGAUAUUCAUCAGAAUCUUUCACGUUAAAUCACAGGGCUUCAUCCCCUUGAGGACCCUUGCAAUUGUCUCUCAUAGCAUGAAUGGCUACCUAGAGAAAUCAGAUGUCAUUUAUGAGAGAAUAAUCUCCGAUUCACAUCAUUGCUGUAGAAGUUCUUUUGUUUCUGGAUGUAAGGGGGGAUGAUCUGGUAAAGCAAGUUAGACAAAUGAUUUGGUCUCCAUAGCUCCAUUUACCUCCCAUUCAGAAAAGCCAGAUAUCCCUCCUGAAGCAUUGGUGCGAUGGCUGCUGAGGAUGGAGACAGGCAUCUCAUCAAGCAUGUGUUGCUAACACAGUAUACUUGUUCCUGGAUAACCUAGCUGUGCUUUGCAUAAGCCACGUGCAGCACAUGGUACUUGUCUGGCAGUGGACAACGGGGACCUCAGCUAACGUGUGCCGCCCUGACCCAUGGUGCAACCACUUGGUUUCCCUGAUUUUCCAGCGUGUCUUCUUCUGGGUUGUUGAUCAACUUUUCUGGAAACCGUGAUGAAUCUGCUCACCAGUUCAGACAAUGCACCCUUUUAUUUCCCCUGAUUCAGACAGCAACAGGAAGGCAGGAAGGCAGGAAAACAGGUUGCCACAUGGGGCUUGGAAGAACUGACUGUCUUGCUAGGGUGCGGCUGGAUAUCAGACCUCAGGUUGCUCUCUAAGACAAAACAGUGUUACCUGCUCAUCACACAUUGCAUGGUUGACCUCUUACCACAGUGAGGACACCUCUUGCCAGAAAUGGAACCAGAAGAAUCUCGUUACAAAAUAAGAAAUCUGUCUAGAGCGUAGCAAAUGACUCACUGCACUUAAGAUGCUUUGGCUCUCAGCUCUGAGGAGGCUGAGCUCUUCUGCGGAGAAGUGAUAAGUAAAUGUUGGCCAUUAUUGAUAGCCAGUCAUGGUGAGGUCGUCACGGAUCCAUUCUGUUCAGAUAAGUUAUGCUGCUUUGUUGUCACAUUGUGACCUACGGGUGAGCACAAAGUAGCAGCUGUGACCCUAUCAAUUAGAUGGAGGUAGAGCUGCUGGGGGGAUCAGAUGGAAGGAUUAAGAAACCCCGUGGAGAAAGCCAGCAAUUAUCCAUGAGUGUCACAAAGACAGAGGUGAUCAGAGUGUCAGCUCACCCAGACCCUCCUCCCCCUGCACUUUCUGUGUGAAAAAGAAUUGGAGCAGAUCUCAUUAGUAAUAGACUGGAGAAAUGUUUGCUGGUUUAAGUGUGGAAAAAAGUGAGCUGAGAAAGAAAGUUAGAAAAAAAAAAGGACCAGUACUCUUGAAGUAAGAGCUAACAGUAAUUUCUGUCCAAAAAUAUUUCUCAUCAGCAAUGUGCAUAGAAGAGUAAGGUUGUGUUUUGAACACAGGUAUGAAGAUCAGUGCCGUUGACCAACCUCUGCUCUCACUUCCCUGAAACUUACACAAGAAGCUUGUGAUAGAAUAGUAAAUCAUGAUUCCAUGAGGUAAACAGAGGAGUGAUUUUUACUCUAGUCUUGACGACUACGGGAAGAACUGACAGGAGAAAAAAACACUGAAUUUGUCGAACAGAGGCUUAGUGUCUCUCCUGCAUCUUGCACCAAAUCGCAAUUUACCGCUAUUUGAUUUAACUGGAUUGAGACGGGCGUAGGGAUGUUUCAGUUAAUUUAGGUUUUGUUUGUUUGUUUUAGUAACAACGGAAAAGUCAUGGCGAUCUAACCUGCUGAGGUCUGGAAUUUUUUUCCUCCUCGGAGUAUAAUGCUACACCAUCGCUAAGAUGUUGUUUGAAGGUUCUUCAUCUGUUUCUUUGACUGCUGUUUCUUGACAGAGAUGCAAUUAUGAAGUUAAUGGAGUAGUCAAGUGCUACACGUUGAAAGUACCCAAGAACCUGCAAACAAAUGCUGUCUGCCUAAGCAAUCUGCAUUAUGUGAACAGCUGUGGUUCCUGUGGAAUAUAUGAUAAAGUCUUCUUUUAUUCUAGUUAUAAAAGUGAAUGAUUGCAGUCCAUCCCGGAAUGCUGAUGAGACACCCUUCUGACUGAUGGAGCAGGCAAGGGAGAACUGGCUCUGCUCCAUCUACAAAUUUUUGAUUUCUGGUUGCUCUACUCAUUUUUAAUUUUUUUUUUUUUUUUUUUUUUUUCUUGCAUCUAAAUUUUGGGUAGAAGCAGAACUGUUGCUGAAGUAUAUCAGCCUCAAAGGUCUUGCUGCCAAAUUAUACCUCUGCCAAGGAAAUAUUUAUUUUAUGUUUUUUGGCAGGGGGGAGGUGGAGAGUGGAGAGUUGUUUGGUUUUUUUUUUAGCAUUUGGGAGUAAGAGAAGAAAAACGUGGAAGACUCAGGAAAAGCUCAAAACAACUAAGAGAACUACUACACCAAUGUUAUCCUGUCUAGUUGCAUUUCUUGAACUUAACUGUAGCAAAAUGUAUUUUGCAGCCUAACAUGAUGUGUUCUGUACACCUGCCUUCUGCUGAGCUGAGCUCUCAGAUGAAGAGUUCAAUAUUAGAGUUGCCAGAAGAAGCAACCGUUCUGAGCGUUGAGGAAAAGCCUAUCUCCCUGAAGUCACCUAGCACUGAUUUCACACUCUGGCUAUCCUGUAUUGGCUGUAAUGGGGGAAAAAAUUAAUUUUUUCAAGUUUUUUUUUUUUUUUUUUGUGCAAGACAGAUGAGCUUGAUGCAGAUACAUCUCAAAGUUGGAGUGUACGAUGCCUCUUGAUCAACUUCUGAGCCAGCCUUUCUGCCUGGAUCUUUACAGUCUAUCUCUGUCCAGGGAAUACAACAACAAAACUUUGCCAUGAGAGAGCCUACAAGCUGGGAAGGUACCUCGCACGGAAGCAGCUGCCCUGAGGAGCACUCAUGAGAACGCCUGCCCUGGGCAUGGUAGGACUGCAAGAUCUGAGAUAAGGCUUCAACACCGUUGCUAACUGGAGAAAUACUCUUUCCAACAGCUGCUCAAUCCAGAUUUCAGCAUCCAUUCCAGCUACUGAUAAUUUUAUCCUCAGUAUAGCUUUAAUUAACUGUGUUGUACACCAUAGUAGAUCUACCUUGUUAAACUGCUGCUCUAUGUUUCAGUGGAAAUGCUAAAAGAGACAGAUAAAAUAAUUUUGUUACGUGGUUACGAGACUCUCAAUUUGUUAAAUUUGCCAGCUGCUGUGGGAGCCUAUGGGAUGGAAGGUAUCAUAUAAAUACAAAAAAGUGUUAUUAUUUACCUGAAUGACUCUAUUCUCUCCCCCUAUCCGCCCUAACCCCCUUUUUUAAAAUAUACUUAUUUUUUAUAUUUCUUUCCUGCAUUUUGUUCUCUAUUUGGAUGGUUUCUUCAAGUCCCCAGCUGGAACUACAAUCAUAAGUUCUCUAAACUCAGGUAUCAACAGCCCUCACAUUUUUCUGACCUUCGUUAGGCAGUUAUUUACCUGACCUGUUUUGCUUGUUAUUCAAUCUUUCUGUCUUCUGCAACUAAUUCCAAGGCAAUUUGAACUUCAAAUGUUUUUCACUCAAGCUGAGUUUAAGCAUGUACAUUUGGAUCACUGUGCUUAGGGAGUCCAGUUUGUCUUCUUGCACUCAACAGAUACACUGUUUUUCUCCAUGUCCAAGGAUUAAUUACAAACAGCUGAAAUAGAAAUUCCUGAAGAAGGACUAAUCCUGAUGCGGAUGCAUGGAAGAGAGAUAUGAGGCAGCAGUCCAGUAAACCUCCAGCUUGAAGCUUAGUUGCAUUUAAAUGCCAUAAUUCCUGGAGCCAACUCAAACUAUCAAUCAGAAUCCUGUCAGUCUAAACAAGUCUGAAGCUUGAAAAUUUUGCUUUCUUUGGCAUUUAAUUUUCCCUUGGAAUCCAAAUCUCAGCUUUAGUUAGGUUUUCUCAUGCAAAAAGGGUUACAUUCAUGUCCAGCUUUGAGAUGUAUUGUGGUAGUGUUCUGAUCUCUGAGAAGUUUGAGCUCCAGCUUGUAGACGUAAGAAUGAGCAGAGCCAGCCAUUCUCAGAAGGGUCACUAGAACCAUUUCACAUGUCUCUCAUCAGUUCACAAAGCAUCACUUCCUUAUUUCUUUAAGUAAGGACAAAGGAAAUCCAGCUGUGGAUGUUAGAGGGCUUAUCAUUUCUUUUUAAAAGAUAUUGAAAAAAUAUUAGUGGUAAAAUAUACCAUUGUUAAGUAACUAUGGAUCUAAGAUUCCUGAACUUCAAAGACACUGUAUAGUACUUAUGAAACUAUGUAGUUUUUCAUCUGAAAGCCAGUGCUUCGGGCAAAGGUUGCAAGGUUAGCGAAAAAAAAAUCAUAAUUGAUCAAAUAUCCACAAUAGAACAUAACAACGUAAUUGUAAAGGCAAAAAAGUUUAUCAAAUGGGUCACAUCAACAAGGUAAUAGAGAUAUCUAAUGGACAAAGAAGGAACAAAAACAGAUGCGUAGCUGUUAAGGUCUCUAAAAUACGUGCCAUGUGGUUGAUUUGAGUGCGGAGUAUACAAAGCAGUGUCAAGAUCGAUAGUUUGCUUUCAAACUGGUUCAUGACCAGUAGAUGACAGAGAGUAAGUCAAUAAGUGAACUUGAAAAAUUAAGCAUCAAGAUGCCAAGAGCAAGAACAAGACAGCAGCUAAUAAUGAUCUCUUGUUUUUACUGGGUAUCUUAAAAGGAGGGAGUGGAACUCACCAAGCCAAAUAGUUAAAUGGGAAUAUGGUACUUCAACAAGUAAUGGGAACAAACGAUGAAAUCAAUAAUCAAUAUAUAGCGCUAAUGUCCAGAAAUUUACAUAAGACAAUCAAACCAUAUUUUUGUCUUUUAUGUUACAAUGUAUAAUUCUAUAUUAUAUAGGCACAUAAGCGUGUGUGUGUGUCCCUCCAAUGAAGUUCAUUCUUUCUGUUUUGACACAAUGUUCAUUUCAUUGUAACAUAUUAAUCACGCCUUCAGGAUAAUAAAUGCCUAAGUAAAAUUUAUUUUGAAAUCUCAGCUUCCAAUUUAGGAAGUUCUUCUGCAAUCUUUAACAUUUCUAGAUUGUCUGUAGGUAUACAUUGUCACACUUGAAGAUUUUAUGUCUGUAGAUGAAUUUCCAUCAUCUUCAAAACAAUUAGUAAAAGAACAAAUGGUGGUUGUUACUGAACUACA
This is a long non-coding RNA of Centrocercus urophasianus (Greater sage-grouse), 5626 nucleotides long. RefSeq lists it as uncharacterized. Lineage: Eukaryota; Metazoa; Chordata; Aves; Galliformes; Phasianidae. The transcript has 16 exons. The record is from RefSeq and is a predicted model, not a curated record.